UCUUGUGUGGAGAGAGACUUGUUGUUGAACGUGGGACAGGAGAAGCUGGAGCCACGGUACAGGUCAGCAUUCAGCCACAGGCCAAAUCCGCCCCUACACAAAAAGAAGGAGACGUCUUUUGUCGGUUGCUCAUGUUUUAUGCUCCCCGAUUGCAGCUUGCUCAAUCUCUGAUAUCUCACACUUAGCAGAUGCAAUAUUUACACAUUUGUCUUUUAUUUAUUCAUGACUAUGUCAGACUUAACUACGGCCUUUACCUUGGGCGGACGUGUCUAUAUUUUGGGGGAAAUCAAUAACCAUAUAACUUACCCUCCUCCACCAAUCUGUAGAGAUUCAAGGGUGCCGCUCAUGAAGUACGAGUUCUCGCCGCUCCACCUGUAUGCCUGGAUGAUGCCAAAUGAAAGGCUUGAGACAUCUGCACUCCAACAGUGACGAUAACAUCAAAGGAAAUAUGAAUAUCUUGAUGCCGGGCGUCCAGCAGCUGGCUCUGGUGCUUCAGGACGGGCAGGGUGUCUCGGACCGGCUCGUCUUCGGCCUCCUUGUCCUCCGAGCUGCUCAGACUCCGGCGCCGCGUGGCGUCCUUCACGAGGAUCACAUGCAGGCCUACCUCAACAUACGGCUCCACGCGGUCACGGGCAAAGUAAAGCACCGUGACGUUGUCUGGCAGCAGCUUCAUGGUUUCUGACUUCUCUUCCAGCCA
Molecule: long non-coding RNA, 697 nt
Organism: Pseudoliparis swirei
Lineage: Eukaryota; Metazoa; Chordata; Actinopteri; Perciformes; Liparidae
Exons: 3
Source: RefSeq, a predicted model, not a curated record